This 428-nucleotide ribosomal RNA is filed under the name uncultured archaeon. RNAcentral describes it as "bacterial SSU rRNA". It matches the Rfam family "Archaeal small subunit ribosomal RNA", at positions 474 to 903 of the family's 1478-position model. The record is from RNAcentral.
UACCAGCUCUCCGAGUGGUAGGGAUGAUUAUUGGGCUUAAAGCGUCCGUAGCCGGCUUAGCAAGUCUCCUGUUAAAUUCAGCGACCUAAUCGUUGAGCCGCGGGAGAUACUACUAGGCUAGGAGGCGGGAGAGGUCGACGGUACUUCUGGGGUAGGGGUGAAAUCCUAUAAUCCCGGGAGGACCACCAGUGGCGAAGGCUGUCGACUAGAACGCGCUCGACGGUGAGGGACGAAAGCUGGGGGAGCGAACCGGAUUAGAUACCCGGGUAGUCCCAGCUGUAAACGAUGCAGGCUAGGUGUUUGGGCGGCCAAGAGCCGCUCUAGUGCCGCAGGGAAGCUGUUAAGCCUGCCGCCUGGGGAGUACGGCCGCAAGGCUGAAACUUAAAGGAAUUGGCGGGGAGCACCACAAGGGGUGAAGCUUGCGGUUU